ACCCAUCAUAGCUCAGUUGGUUAAGAAUGAGACUAAUAAUCUCAAGGUUGUGGGUUCGAGCCCCAUGAUGGGCA
This is a non-coding RNA of Podarcis lilfordi (Lilford's wall lizard), 74 nucleotides long. The record is from the annotation of a GenBank genome assembly. NCBI's taxonomy places the organism in Eukaryota, Metazoa, Chordata, Lepidosauria, Squamata, Lacertidae.